This 1329-nucleotide ribosomal RNA is filed under the name Vibrio vulnificus. RNAcentral's name for it is "bacterial SSU rRNA". It matches the Rfam family "Bacterial small subunit ribosomal RNA", at positions 212 to 1533 of the family's 1533-position model. Lineage: Bacteria; Pseudomonadati; Pseudomonadota; Gammaproteobacteria; Vibrionales; Vibrionaceae. The record is from RNAcentral.
CUCUCGCGUCAGGAUAUGCCCAGGUGGGAUUAGCUAGUUGGUGAGGUAAGGGCUCACCAAGGCGACGAUCCCUAGCUGGUCUGAGAGGAUGAUCAGCCACACUGGAACUGAGACACGGUCCAGACUCCUACGGGAGGCAGCAGUGGGGAAUAUUGCACAAUGGGCGCAAGCCUGAUGCAGCCAUGCCGCGUGUGUGAAGAAGGCCUUCGGGUUGUAAAGCACUUUCAGUCGUGAGGAAGGUGGUAGUGUUAAUAGCACUAUCAUUUGACGUUAGCGACAGAAGAAGCACCGGCUAACUCCGUGCCAGCAGCCGCGGUAAUACGGAGGGUGCGAGCGUUAAUCGGAAUUACUGGGCGUAAAGCGCAUGCAGGUGGUUUGUUAAGUCAGAUGUGAAAGCCCGGGGCUCAACCUCGGAACUGCAUUUGAAACUGGCAGACUAGAGUACUGUAGAGGGGGGUAGAAUUUCAGGUGUAGCGGUGAAAUGCGUAGAGAUCUGAAGGAAUACCGGUGGCGAAGGCGGCCCCCUGGACAGAUACUGACACUCAGAUGCGAAAGCGUGGGGAGCAAACAGGAUUAGAUACCCUGGUAGUCCACGCUGUAAACGAUGUCUACUUGGAGGUUGUGGCCUUGAGCCGUGGCUUUCGGAGCUAACGCGUUAAGUAGACCGCCUGGGGAGUACGGUCGCAAGAUUAAAACUCAAAUGAAUUGACGGGGGCCCGCACAAGCGGUGGAGCAUGUGGUUUAAUUCGAUGCAACGCGAAGAACCUUACCUACUCUUGACAUCCAGAGAAUCUAGCGGAGACGCUGGAGUGCCUUCGGGAACUCUGAGACAGGUGCUGCAUGGCUGUCGUCAGCUCGUGUUGUGAAAUGUUGGGUUAAGUCCCGCAACGAGCGCAACCCUUAUCCUUGUUUGCCAGCGAGUAAUGUCGGGAACUCCAGGGAGACUGCCGGUGAUAAACCGGAGGAAGGUGGGGACGACGUCAAGUCAUCAUGGCCCUUACGAGUAGGGCUACACACGUGCUACAAUGGCGCAUACAGAGGGCGGCCAACUUGCGAAAGUGAGCGAAUCCCAAAAAGUGCGUCGUAGUCCGGAUUGGAGUCUGCAACUCGACUCCAUGAAGUCGGAAUCGCUAGUAAUCGUGGAUCAGAAUGCCACGGUGAAUACGUUCCCGGGCCUUGUACACACCGCCCGUCACACCAUGGGAGUGGGCUGCAAAAGAAGUGGGUAGUUUAACCUUCGGGAGGACGCUCACCACUUUGUGGUUCAUGACUGGGGUGAAGUCGUAACAAGGUAGCGCUAGGGGAACCUGGCGCUGGAUCACCUCCUUA